RNAcentral lists this ribosomal RNA (381 nucleotides) under uncultured bacterium. RNAcentral's name for it is "bacterial SSU rRNA". It matches the Rfam family "Bacterial small subunit ribosomal RNA", at positions 30 to 416 of the family's 1533-position model. The record is from RNAcentral.
AUUGAACGCUGGCGGCAUGCCUAACACAUGCAAGUCGAACGGGUUGUAGCAAUACAACUAGUGGCGGACGGGUGAGGAAUACAUAGGAAUUUGCCUUUAGGUGGGGGAUAGCCCGGGGGAAACUCGGAGUAAUACCGCAUGAUGUCGCAAGACCAAAGCCGGGGAUCGCAAGACCUGGCGCCUUUAGAGGAGCCUAUGUCUGAUUAGCUAGUUGGUAGGGUAAUGGCCUACCAAGGCGACGAUCAGUAACUGGUCUGAGAGGACGAUCAGUCACACCGGAACUGAGACACGGUCCGGACUCCUACGGGGAGGCAGCAGUGGGGAAUAUUGGACAAUAGGGCGCAAGCCUGAUCCAGCGAUGCCGCGUGUGUGAAGAAGGCC